Molecule: non-coding RNA, 3073 nt
Organism: Podarcis lilfordi (Lilford's wall lizard)
Lineage: Eukaryota; Metazoa; Chordata; Lepidosauria; Squamata; Lacertidae
Source: the annotation of a GenBank genome assembly
ACAUUUCGCGAAAUCUACACAGCCUUUUGCUAGGGUGCACACACCGCUCCAAACGCUGGAGUUUUUAUUUAUGUAAUCUCCCCCCACACCCUUUUCUUCCCUUCGCAGUCUUCUCGCCAAAAAAUUCCCUAGAAAACCAGCUUCUAAGGCGUGUGGGGAGGAAAUCGGUUGUGUGUGGGGCUUCCCCCCUUUUUUUCUUUUUAGGUGGGGGGUGUUGUUGUUUCAUUUGAUUUCUAUUUCAUUGUUUUGGUGGUUGUUCUUUUCUUUGGCUUUUCCGAAAUGCUUUUUGUUUUGUUUAUUUUGACACCCACCCAACCCCCCUCUUUCGCACACAUAAGUGGAGAAGAUGUGGCAAGGUAGGUCUCUCUGCACUCUGUCUCGCUCCCUCUGUGUCUCUGUUGUGUUUGUGUGUGGUGUGUGCACUUGUGCUUUUGCUUUUUGCAAAGUUUUCUGAUUUCAGUUGCCGGAUGCUUUUGCAAAGAGCAGACUUUGCUGAUUUGCUGUUGCUGACUGCCUUUUGGAAAGCUGCACGAUGCAUUGGCCAGCAAACCCUCCCUUUAGGAAAGCAACAAGGAGGGGAAAGUUCUCUAGACUGCCAUGGGUUGUAUUUGCAGUGUGUUGAAUUGUGUUUUUUGCAAGGGGAGAAAUUAAAAGCGGUGGGGUGGGGGAGCAUGCCACCUUGGGAGGAUAAAGGUGAUAGAUCUCCCUGCCCAAUCUUUUUAAAAAGCCCUGUCAAAAUUGGGGAGAGGGAAUACAUAUACAUGAAUGAAGUUUCCACCCAUCUGGGGCAGACCUUGCUGGUCUCAGUUUGCUAUACUGGGGCAAAGGGGAGAAGUGCUUUAUUAAUGAAUGAAAUACUGAUUACAUAAAAGCUGUGCAAUGUUGCUGCAGAAUCAGGGCAAAGGUAAGGAAAGAAAGAUAUUUUGGGGGCAUAGAGGGAUUAGCCAGCAAACUCUCAGAUGGGCUAUAUAGAGGCAGAAUGAGAUGUGGGUCUAUAGGGAGAGGAAACCAGGACUCCAAGAGUCUUCUUUGAUGCAAGAGUGAGAAACUGCCACAGUCUCCAACCACCUGUAGAGGGAAAUCUUUAUACACAAUAAUUCCCCCUCCCUCAUAGCGGUGUCUAGAAGAAAAUGAAAGAGAACAACCAAUUCCAAACUUUGGUGGGAAUGCAAGAGCCAGAUUUAUUCAGGGGUGUCUGCAAAUUGCCCAUACUCUUUUUGGCAAUUCUCUGUUGGCUCACAGGAAGCCAAUGGGAAACAACACACCGAUCCUUUGGCACCCACUCGGGCUGUCUUCAGUGCCGUUCCUCUUGAAGAAGUGAAUAGCAACAGAUGUCUUGCCCGAGAAGUUCUGAUUUAUCGUUCAUUUCAAGGUGCUUUCAGGAUAGUGGCUAUUCCAAGCCUGUGUUUUUGUUCUUUGUAAAGUCAGCCCUAGAAAUUAGUAGCUAUCACGACUGCAGUCCUGAGCAUACUUUAAACUAGGGUGCAAGUCCCACUGAACUCAUCUGGCACAUACUUGUGAGUUAGCAUGGUUAGGGGCACAUGGCACUCUGUCCAGGAGAAUGGGGAAGAUCCUGGUUUUUGACCACCCCUUUGCCCCAGGGAGAAUUUGGUUCAACUCCAGGUUGAUUAUGAACAGGGAGUCGGGAAGGAAGAGAGAGAUAGCAAGCAAGAGAGAUUUUACUGCUACUUGUGGUGUUGACGCUACAACAUCUUUUAACUCUGCUUACAGUGACCCUGAUUCUGACAGUUGUGUGUACACUGGGAGCUGCUUCAUUAGAAUCCCAUGUAGAACAAACUGUGGAUUCAGGGACAGGAGCUGCAGAGUGGAAGGCUACCAUCGCAUAGUGGUAGACUGAAUAUUUCAGCUUACGCCUGAAAAAGACUCGGAGAGCUGGGAGUCUUAAACCUAAAGUUCAUGUUUAUGGCACUGUAGGAUGGAAGAGCAACAGUAUACAGACCUACGGUGGUGAACCCAACAUUGUAGUCAAAAGACCGGUGCCUCAGUCGUGCUGUGACGUCAAAGGCUGUAACGUGCCUAGCUUUAGUCAAGGCUUUCAGUCCUCUUUGGAGUCUUGCUAUCAGGGCCGAUCACAUAUUUCUCUUGAUUUGCAAUGAUGCAUGGACUGCGCUUUAGGUUAUAAACUACCAAACACCCCUCAAGUCACAAUGCUAAUUUAAGUACCCUUUGGUUUCUAUGCCUUAUCUUAUAUAGCCAUUUAUGUCCUGAAAUGGAUACAUGCAGGCUAAGCCACAAUAUCCCUCGCAUCAGCAGUCAGAUUCACUGUAGAACGUAAAGUCUACAAUAGUCAUCUCUGGCUGUUUUGAGUGGCUUAAUGAAUGGUGGCAAAGGGCAGAACAAUGGUUGAUUUCCCCCUGCUCUCUUCAUUGUUGCACCAGGUGGCUUCAGUCAUUACGUGCCAUAAGACUUCUUCAUAAGGCUUGGUGCCACUAGUUGGACAGCUGUUGCUUCUGUUAAAUUGUUGAUCUUCUCAGACCUACCAGAAGUGGUCCACCCUCCUGCCCUGCCACCUCACCUGGGGGCUUCAAAUCGGAAAACACAAAACCAAAUCCAAGUUUACAUGAAACUUCCUGAUUUGUCAAUCAAAUUCUGCUCUGGGCAACUCAUUUUUGCCGUAUCCACAGUUAGACAAUUAGACGAUGCUGUAUCUAGUGAGCUAUGGUUCUGCUUCUUGGGUCUCAAGCUGAAUGAAACCAUAAUGGGUCAAUGGCAUAACAUUUUAGGGCAGCCCUAGGUGAUGGGAGCCUUUCUUAACAGGAACAAUUUACGAGCUCUUUUCAUGGACGCUCUUAGUUGCAAACCUGGACACAGCUAUGCCUGUAUCAGUCCCAUUCAACUUAAUUGGGCUUAUGUACAGUGGAGAAUUGAAGCCAUGAAGAGGAAACUGAUGCAUUUGGUCCAUGUUACUGACAAUGAAGUGAUUGACUGGUAGCCAUGGAAUAAACCCGGAAUCAAAAGAGUAUGAACAUAUAAGGGACCGUUUUGCAAAGGUGAAAACAUACUUCACUUUAGUGCAGAAGAACAGAAAUAGAGAAUGGUGCUCAAUCUGACC